Molecule: ribosomal RNA, 1384 nt
Filed under: Klebsiella pneumoniae
Lineage: Bacteria; Pseudomonadati; Pseudomonadota; Gammaproteobacteria; Enterobacterales; Enterobacteriaceae
Description: bacterial SSU rRNA
Rfam family: Bacterial small subunit ribosomal RNA
Source: RNAcentral
CAGUCGAGCGGUAGCACAGAGAGCUUGCUCUCGGGUGACGAGCGGCGGACGGGUGAGUAAUGUCUGGGAAACUGCCUGAUGGAGGGGGAUAACUACUGGAAACGGUAGCUAAUACCGCAUAACGUCGCAAGACCAAAGUGGGGGACCUUCGGGCCUCAUGCCAUCAGAUGUGCCCAGAUGGGAUUAGCUAGUAGGUGGGGUAACGGCUCACCUAGGCGACGAUCCCUAGCUGGUCUGAGAGGAUGACCAGCCACACUGGAACUGAGACACGGUCCAGACUCCUACGGGAGGCAGCAGUGGGGAAUAUUGCACAAUGGGCGCAAGCCUGAUGCAGCCAUGCCGCGUGUGUGAAGAAGGCCUUCGGGUUGUAAAGCACUUUCAGCGGGGAGGAAGGCGUUAAGGUUAAUAACCUUGGCGAUUGACGUUACCCGCAGAAGAAGCACCGGCUAACUCCGUGCCAGCAGCCGCGGUAAUACGGAGGGUGCAAGCGUUAAUCGGAAUUACUGGGCGUAAAGCGCACGCAGGCGGUCUGUCAAGUCGGAUGUGAAAUCCCCGGGCUCAACCUGGGAACUGCAUUCGAAACUGGCAGGCUAGAGUCUUGUAGAGGGGGGUAGAAUUCCAGGUGUAGCGGUGAAAUGCGUAGAGAUCUGGAGGAAUACCGGUGGCGAAGGCGGCCCCCUGGACAAAGACUGACGCUCAGGUGCGAAAGCGUGGGGAGCAAACAGGAUUAGAUACCCUGGUAGUCCACGCCGUAAACGAUGUCGAUUUGGAGGUUGUGCCCUUGAGGCGUGGCUUCCGGAGCUAACGCGUUAAAUCGACCGCCUGGGGAGUACGGCCGCAAGGUUAAAACUCAAAUGAAUUGACGGGGGCCCGCACAAGCGGUGGAGCAUGUGGUUUAAUUCGAUGCAACGCGAAGAACCUUACCUGGUCUUGACAUCCACAGAACUUUCCAGAGAUGGAUUGGUGCCUUCGGGAACUGUGAGACAGGUGCUGCAUGGCUGUCGUCAGCUCGUGUUGUGAAAUGUUGGGUUAAGUCCCGCAACGAGCGCAACCCUUAUCCUUUGUUGCCAGCGGUUCGGCCGGGAACUCAAAGGAGACUGCCAGUGAUAAACUGGAGGAAGGUGGGGAUGACGUCAAGUCAUCAUGGCCCUUACGACCAGGGCUACACACGUGCUACAAUGGCAUAUACAAAGAGAAGCGACCUCGCGAGAGCAAGCGGACCUCAUAAAGUAUGUCGUAGUCCGGAUUGGAGUCUGCAACUCGACUCCAUGAAGUCGGAAUCGCUAGUAAUCGUAGAUCAGAAUGCUACGGUGAAUACGUUCCCGGGCCUUGUACACACCGCCCGUCACACCAUGGGAGUGGGUUGCAAAAGAAGUAGGUAGCU